CUUAUCUUCUCAUAGCUUCAAUGAUGAAGACAGAAAUACUUGAAAACAUCAUAAGAUUUAUGUAAGGAUGAUAAUUUAAAAAAGAAGGAAAUGCGGAGACAGACACAUGUACUCACUCAGGCAGAACACCAUGUGAAAAUGAAGGCAACAAGCUGUAACCCAAGGAAAUUCCAAAGAUCGCAGGCAAACCACAAGAAGGUAGAAGAAUAGGAUGGAACAGUGGCUCACAGCUCUCAGAAGUAAUCAACCUGCCAACUUGGAUUUUGGCCUUCUAACAUCCAGAAAUGUAGUCUUCCUGAAGUAAAGAUGCAAAGCCAACAGAUGGAGAGAAACAGAGGUUCACGGGUUUGCCACAUGCAUGAUUUCUAUAAUCUCUAAAUUGAAUGCGCUUAGUUGCAGCUACAUCUUAUCUCAAAUAUCUGCAAUAAUUAUCUCCAAUGCUCAAUUAAAUUUUUGCAUUUCUCAAUUUAUCACUAACUACCCUAUGUAUAUGUUUCAGUUAUAACUCAUCUCAAAUAAUUUUAAAAGACUUAUGUAAUACUUAAUAAUUCGUUGAAAUGUUUCCCUUUCGUUUCUAAAGAGGAAAAUGUGCCCUUAGCCAUCACUUUUUAAAUCUAAAAGCUACAAACAGAAAUUGCUUUGCAAUUUUCAUGUACUCCUUAGAAAUUUUCUAGCUUCAAACAUGUGAUAUUUGCUUCUCUUACAUAAACGUCUCCAAAAAUGACUGCUAAAAAUGAAAACAUCUUUUCCAACAAAUAUUUUCAAUGCAAUGUAAACACAUAUUGCAAACAAUGAUUUAAACUAAUUCCAAGAAACCCAGCUAUUGGCAUUCUAGGAUUUUGCUAGUUAGGGGAACUGGCCCCAGAUGGGGAAAGCAUUCUUUGUUGUCUGAAGUGAUUACAGUAAAACAGGCCCAGACAGAAAAACUAUGGGUUGUAUGUCUCAAUACUGCAACUUUACCACCUGGCCAUUCUACUGUCACACAAAGGUCAAGCAGACAGCAAUGCAAUUUUGAGGUGGGGAAGGAAAAUAAUCCAGUCAGAAUUCAAGCAAAUGUUUGAAUUCAGAGUUUGAAUUCAGAGAAUGUUUGAGUUCAAUAAGCACUCAUUUUUCCCUUCUGGGAACCAUGUAAGGCAAUGAGAUAUGAAGAUAAAUAAUAUAUAGGCCCUUACUUGAGGAAUUCCUAAUCUAACCAAUGUCAUAGAUAUAUGAACAAAUAUACUGUGACAUGAAAAUUAAUAAGUAGUGUGUGCAAGGUAUAGUAAGACGUAAUUCCUAUAAAAUGAAGGUGGGGUGAUAACCUCUCUUCUGAACAUAAAAAGAAGGAUUCUCGGGAGCGACUGCUGAGUGAGAAUGCAUGUAUUCAUUCAUUUAUCAAAUAUUGAUGGAACAUUGUUAUGGGUUGAAUUGUGUCGCUAAAAAGAUGUGUUGAAGUCUUGACCCCUGGUACGUGUGAAUGUGACCUUAUUUGGAAGCAGGGUCUUUGCAAAUGUAACCAAGUUAAGAUGAGUUCAUUAGGAUAGGUCAUAUCCAAUAAGACUUAUGUCCUUAUGAGAAGAGGAAAAAAUUUGAACACACAGGCAUACAGGGAAUGCAGCAUGUGAAGAUGGAGGAUGAGAGAUGAGCUUGGAGUUAUGCUCCCACAAGCUGCAGAACAACUGGGGCUAACAGAAGCUGAGAGAUGCGACCCUCCCCUAGAGGUUACAGACGGAGCACAGCCCUACCAACACCUGAUUUUGGACUUCUGGCCUCUAGAAGUGUGAGAGAAUAAACUUCUGUCAUUUUAAGUCACCCUGUGUAUGGUACUUUGCUGUGGCAGUCCUAAGAAACUAAUACAAGCAUCUGCUAUGAACAAGACACCAGGAAUAUUGCUCAGGUAAUAGUGGAGAAAAGGACAAAGACUCUGCCUUAAGUAUGCUAAUAGGUUAUUCAGUGCAACAAGAGUAAUAUAAACAAAACUAUAAACAGGUAUUGUUUGUUGGGAGAGUUUUAAGUGAUUUGAUAUUACUGUAGAAAUAAAAAGUGUAGAAAUAAAAAUAAAAAAUAAAAAACUGAGUAGAAAGUUGAGUAGUAGACAGAUUAUUUUUAAAAAGAGUUUGGGAUUAACCUUGUUGAUAUGAGUUAUGGAUUAUGGUUUAAAGUAGAAAAUGAUAUGUUUAUACUUUUAACAGGUCACUCUGAUAUCAGCAAUGUAAUUUAUUUGUUCUGGGUAAUACCAGAAUAGACCAGUUAGGAAGGAAGAGUAAGAGGCGAAGCAAGAGAGAAAAGGAGGAUCUGAAUGGAGGCAGUAAAACCAACAAUGACUUUCAAGCCAAAUGAGUUUGAACGUCAACCACUGUAGAAGGGGCUAUAUGAAACCAAUGUUUUAAAAAAGAAUAUUGCUUAAGGCAGUGCACUAACAAAAAAGAAAAAUCUGCAAAAAUAGGUUAAAAAAAGAUAGGUAAAAAUUAGUCCUUCUACUUAGAAACCAAGGAUAUAAUGUAGAGGUAACAUGAACACACACACACACACACACACACACACGCACACAUUGAGUUGUUACUGGUGUAGGAGCCAGGGACAAAUUUACAUGUGAGAGCUGCCUGAAUAGCUGGGCUAAGAGCAUGGGAGAUGUGAGAGUCCUAUUCAGGUGUCAUAGAAGAAAAAGAGAUUUCCACAAAGGGAGUAAUUUUAAGUCCUGAUUUAGCUGGGCAUUUGCAAUUCACCAUGACUUAAGAUUUGUUUUUGACAAACUCAUGAUUUCCCAAUCUAUUGUGUUAGAAAACCAUUAAAAU
RNAcentral lists this long non-coding RNA (2774 nucleotides) under Homo sapiens (human). RNAcentral describes it as "HSALNT0050238". The record is from RNAcentral. Lineage: Eukaryota; Metazoa; Chordata; Mammalia; Primates; Hominidae.